Molecule: long non-coding RNA, 813 nt
Organism: Homo sapiens (human)
Lineage: Eukaryota; Metazoa; Chordata; Mammalia; Primates; Hominidae
Product: long independently transcribed non-coding RNA 2546
Exons: 3
Source: RefSeq, marked validated
AGUAUCUGAAUUUGGGGAGAACAUAAGUCCAUGACACAUGUGUACAAAACUUUCAUUGUGAUAUUAGUGUCAUAAUAAUAAUAUAUAACAACAUACAACAGAGCAACCAACAAGCUUAACACCUGAGAAAAGAUAGGUGCCUCCCAGAAGUAACAAACAUGAGUACUUGAUUACCUAGGGCACACAUAGCACAGACCAAGAUAUAAUCGCCUUGAAAGUGGAUGAAAAGAAUGCAGCUGAAACAUUUAUCAAAUUAUUGGAGGCCAAAUGUGAACACUAGUGAAGAUCAACUGUGGUUGGAGAAAUGAAGAACAGCAAAACUCUAACCCCGGGACAAGUACAAGAUUACUGAGAAAGCUUCACCCCACAAACUCAGGGGCACUAAGACUGAGGCUGAGCCGUAACGACAGAAUUUUCCCACUGUUAAAGCAAAUAAAUAUGGCCUGAGAAGGAUUUCUAUAUUUGAGUCCUUGUGGACUAACUGCAACCUAGCUUAACAGAGUAAGACCAUUUAAAGGGACCAAAAAUGGAUGAACAUACUUGGCACUAUGAACUAAAAGAUCUUUGGCUAAAGAAGAGAUGAAGACUCAUUCAACUCCUACAAGUGAAUUAAGGAGCUCUGAGAAGGCAAAGCCAGCCCAGGAGGGUGGACACACUAAGAACAAUGUGCCUUGUCCUGAUACACAGUUGUGGUAUAGGUAACAAAAUCUGAGUAUCCAACCUAAGAUGUUACCCCUCACCUCACCAGAAUACCUCCAAUCCCUUCCCUGGAAACACAGAAUAAAUUCCUAUAGAAAGUUAUAAAGCAGAAAA